Molecule: long non-coding RNA, 2763 nt
Organism: Lolium perenne
Lineage: Eukaryota; Viridiplantae; Streptophyta; Magnoliopsida; Poales; Poaceae
Source: RefSeq, a predicted model, not a curated record
AAACCAGGAAAAUCAUGUAUCUACCCCCUAACCCUAAACUCUGUCUUAUGAAGUCAAGCAUGCAUGAAGAGAAGUGGUUUUUGGUUUCAAACAUGGAAAUUUCAAAAACCCUACCAAGAUCUACAUUUUGGAGUGACUAAGAAGGAUAUAUGCUUAAUUUUUCAUAUUCAUGUUUGAAACUUGUUUAAAUCAUGGUCAAACCUAGGAUUUGACCAAGAUUCAAAUGGGCAUAAAAAUUCAGAAAAAACAAAAAAUGAAAAAUCAAGGGACAUAGUCUUCUUAUGUCAUAUAGUAAGCAUUAAAUUUAAUUAUAGAUUCGUUUGUCGAUUUUUCUUCGUACAUUUUUAUUAUUACUCUACUAUGCAGCACAUAUGUGUUUGCCCGUCGAGUGAAACUCGAAGGAAGAGGGAUCACUCGGAAGGAGAGAAGAAGGAGGGAGAGCAUUAUGGCGUCUCUCCUUUUUCGGUUGAUGAUGUUGACUAUUGUGCAGCGUUUGUCAGUGAGCAGGAGGUGCGAGCAAGCGAGCGAGUCGAGCGAGCCCGAGAAUGAGAGAGAUUUGUUUUUUUGUGAGAGGGACAAACGAAGGAUCCUGAAGGACCCAGAGACUUCCAAUACGCAUCCUGAAUUCCUGAUGCGUCUUCUCUUGACAAAGAAAAUGGAUGGGAGUUUGCAUACCUAUUGCACGUGACUUGUGCUCACUGAAGUGUGGGACCUCACGCAUGGGCACCACACGUAGACCUGUUGGUGUAAAAAUUCGGUUGAUUAUUAUAGUGCAUUAGAACAAAGUUUCCUAUGGAUUCAAGGGUAGGAAAUCCAAGUUAACUCAUUUACAUGACAUUAUUUUUUGCAUGAAGCAAAGUUAACACAUCUAUCAAUUGGUACAUUUUGGAGUGACUAAGAAAGAUCCAUGCUUACCUUUUCGUUUUCACGUGUUAAACUUGUUUAAAUCUUGGUCAAACCUAGGAUUUGACAGAGAUUCAAAUGGGCGGAAAAUUAAACAAAAAACAGAAAAAUAAAAAACCAAAGCACAUACGUAGUUUUCUUACGUCAUAUAGUAAGCAUUCAAGUUGAUAAACAAGGUCUAGACAUAUUCAAACCAUACAAAUCAUGUAUAUACCCCUAACCCUAAACUAUGUCUUAUGAAGUCAAGCAUGAAGAGAAGUGGUUUUGGGUUUCAAACAUGGAAAUUUCAAAAAACCUCCCAAAAACUUCAUUUAGAGUGACUAAGAAGGAUAAAUGCUUCCCUUUUCAUUUUCAUGUUUUAAACUUGUUUAAAUCUUGGUCAAACCUAGGAUUUGACCAAGAUUCAAAUGGGCAUCAAAAAUAAAAAAAAUCAGAAAAAUGAAAAACCAAAGCACAUAGUCUUCUUAUGUCAUAUAGUAAGCAUUAAAUUUGAUAAACAAGGUCUAGACGUAUUCAAACCAGACAAAUCAUGUAUCUACCCCUAACCCUAAACUCUGUCUUAUGAAGUCAAGCAUGUAGAGAAGUUGUUUUGGGUUUCAAACAUGGAAAUUUCAAAAACCCUCCCAAGAGCUACAUUUUGGAGUGACUAAGAAGGAUAGAUGCUUAAUUUUUCAUAUUCAUGUUUUCAACUUGUUUAAAUCAUGGUCAAACCUAGGAUUUGACCAAGAUUCAAAUGGGCAUAAUUUUAAAAAAAAUGAAAAAUCAAGGCACAUAGUCUUCUUAUGUCAUAUAGUAAGCAUUCAAUUAAGUUGAUAAAGAAGGUCUAGACAUAUUCAAACUAGAAAAAUCAUGUAUCUAACCCCCUAUCUAUAUAGCCCUAAACCAUGACUUAUGAAGUCAAGCAUGAAGAGAAGUGGUUUUUAGUUUCAAACAUGGAAAUUUCAAAAACCCUCCCAAGAGCUUCAUUUUGGAGUGACUUAAGAAGCAUACAUGCUUACUUUUUCAUAUUCAUGUUUUAAACUUGUUCAAAUCUUCGUCAACAAACCUAGGAUUUGACGAAGAUUCAAAUGGGUAUAAAAAUUAAAACCAAGGUCUUCUCAUGUCAUAUAGUAAGUAUCUAUUAUAUAAUUAAAACACAAGACAAAUAACGGCUCGGAUUAGCCUACCGUAUGACACCAAAGAAAAUAAUGGCUCAGAUUCAUACGUAACGAUUCGCUGUAGAUCGGAACCAGUUAUUAUAUAAUCAAUCACGUCUGGUGCUGUCAAAAAAAAAAAGAAUGGCUCAGAUUCAUACCUAAUGAUUCGCUAUAACAGAUCAGAACCAGUUAUAAUCAAUCACGUCUGCUGCUGUCAAAAAAAAAAUCACAUCCGCUAACAGUAUACGCCCCACCCCCACGUCCCAUGCCCUAAAAAUCCUAGAGCCCCGCAUAUUAUCACCGCCCCGCCGCCACCAGUUCAACGCCGUCGUCGCCGAUGUUCUCCUUAUGCUUUUGCUGGACAGGCAAACCGCCGUGGACUCACCUAUACCAGCUAUACCAGACCCCAGCGCUACUCGCCACUGCUGUCACCUGCACUGCAUGCCAAAUCCGGACAGUCACACGCUCGGAACUGGCUGAACACUGGUGCUGAUGUCCUAUUGCAGGUGUAUAUAUACUAUACACCAUUCACAUGUUUGACAAAAAUUCCCAACCAUUUAAGUUACACAAAAUCAGCCAUCCACGGUAGUAGCAGUGCCAUGCAUCUUUGUCAAUCUACUUUUCAGAGCUCACCGCGGCUAUCGCGGCAAGAUCGAACAAGACAUUCAAGCAGUUGGAUGCCUGCUUCGGGGCGAUGACCACCAUCGCGAUAAAAUCGUGCUAG